RNAcentral lists this ribosomal RNA (339 nucleotides) under uncultured Acidobacteriota bacterium. RNAcentral describes it as "bacterial SSU rRNA". It matches the Rfam family "Bacterial small subunit ribosomal RNA", at positions 15 to 350 of the family's 1533-position model. Lineage: Bacteria; Pseudomonadati; Acidobacteriota. The record is from RNAcentral.
GAUCCUGGCUCAGAAUCAACGCUGGCGGCGUGCCUAACACAUGCAAGUCGAACGAGAAAGUCCGCAAGGAUGAGUAAAGUGGCGUCCGGGUGAGUAACACGUAGCUAACUUACCCUCGAGCGGGGGAUAACCUGGGGAAACCCGGGCUAAUACCGCAUAAGACCCUGGCGGCAUAUGUCGCAGGGGCCAAAGGCCCGCAAGGGCCACUUGAGGAGGGGGCUGCGGCCGAUUAGCUAGUUGGUGAGGUAACGGCCCACCAAGGCUAUGAUCGGUAGCCGGCCUGAGAGGGCGCACGGCCACACUGGCACUGAAACACGGGCCAGACUCCUACGGGAGGCA